CUUUGUGGCGACCGGCGCACGGGUGCGUAACGCGUAUGCAACCUACCUUUAACAGGGGCAUAACACUGAGAAAUUGGUACUAAUUCCCCAUAACAUUCGAGAAGGCAUCUUCUUGGGUUAAAAACUCCGGUGGUUAAAGAUGGGCAUGCGUUGUAUUAGCUAGUUGGUGAGGUAACGGCUCACCAAGGCAACGAUACAUAGGGGGACUGAGAGGUUAACCCCCCACAUUGGUACUGAGACACGGACCAA
RNAcentral lists this ribosomal RNA (249 nucleotides) under uncultured bacterium. RNAcentral's name for it is "partial 16S ribosomal RNA". It matches the Rfam family "Bacterial small subunit ribosomal RNA", at positions 84 to 334 of the family's 1533-position model. The record is from RNAcentral.